RNAcentral lists this microRNA precursor (112 nucleotides) under Dinoponera quadriceps. RNAcentral describes it as "microRNA dqu-mir-995 precursor". Its record names the gene dqu-mir-995. The record is from miRBase by way of RNAcentral. Lineage: Eukaryota; Metazoa; Arthropoda; Insecta; Hymenoptera; Formicidae.
UAACACACUGCUAACAACCCGCAUAUUGGGGUCAGCUGAAUCUGCGGGGGCCACGUUACACUAAUUUUCGUAGCACCACAUUAUUCAGCUUGUCCCAUUAUGCCAUGCUCGC